Molecule: ribosomal RNA, 317 nt
Filed under: uncultured bacterium
Lineage: Bacteria
Description: bacterial SSU rRNA
Rfam family: Bacterial small subunit ribosomal RNA
Source: RNAcentral
GAUAAACGCUGGCGGCGCACAUAAGACAUGCAAGUCGAACGGACAGAAGCCAAAUGUUUACAUUAGGUGGAAGUUAGUGGCGGACUGGUGAGUAACACGUAAGCAACCUGCCUAUUAGAGGGGAAUAACAGUGAGAAAUCAUUGCUAAUACCGCAUAUGCCAUAAAGACCACAUGGUCUUAGUGGGAAAGGAGAAAUCCGCUAAUAGAUGGGCUUGCGUCUGAUUAGCUAGUUGGUGGGGUAAAGGCCUACCAAGGCGACGAUCAGUAGCCGAACUGAGAGGUUGAACGGCCACAUUGGGACUGAGAUACGGCCCAG